This 262-nucleotide long non-coding RNA is filed under the name Elaeis guineensis (African oil palm). RNAcentral's name for it is "long non-coding RNA (EGUI_LNC013337)". Lineage: Eukaryota; Viridiplantae; Streptophyta; Magnoliopsida; Arecales; Arecaceae. The record is from RNAcentral.
GACUAUUUGAAAAGUUACAAAGUUCUCAUGAUACUCUAGAAUACUUCAGACGACCUCCUUUGCCUUGUAUUUUCAGCCAUGCUUAAAUUAGCUCAGGUACGAUACUCCAGUCUUCAAUCAAAGUCUAUCUACUCAUUCGAGCACCUUUGGAAGUAAUUUGCCGUAUAUUUUAAUAACAACCGAGCAUAGCUGAAGAACUCCAACAGCCUCUUCUCAAUUUAGUAGGGAGAGGGAGAGUUGUAGUGCAACUACAUGAUAUAUU